RNAcentral lists this non-coding RNA (46 nucleotides) under Echinostoma caproni. Lineage: Eukaryota; Metazoa; Platyhelminthes; Trematoda; Plagiorchiida; Echinostomatidae. The record is from RNAcentral.
ACACUGCUGACGAGUCCCGAAACAGGACGAAAUAGCUGUCCAGUGC